ACGGGUGAGUAAUGCCUAGGAAUCUGCCUGGUAGUGGGGGAUAACGUUCGGAAACGGACGCUAAUACCGCAUACGUCCUACGGGAGAAAGCAGGGGACCUUAGGGCCUUGCGCUAUCAGAUGAGCCUAGGUCGGAUUAGCUAGUUGGUGAGGUAAUGGCUCACCAAGGCGACGAUCCGUAACUGGUCUGAGAGGAUGAUCAGUCACACUGGAACUGAGACACGGUCCAGACUCCUACGGGAGGCAGCAGUGGGGAAUAUUGGACAAUGGGCGAAAGCCUGAUCCAGCCAUGCCGCGUGUGUGAAGAAGGUCUUCGGAUUGUAAAGCACUUUAAGUUGGGAGGAAGGGCAGUUACCUAAUACGUGAUUGUUUUGACGUUACCGACAGAAUAAGCACCGGCUAACUCUGUGCCAGCAGCCGCGGUAAUACAGAGGGUGCAAGCGUUAAUCGGAAUUACUGGGCGUAAAGCGCGCGUAGGUGGUUUGUUAAGUUGGAUGUGAAAUCCCCGGGCUCAACCUGGGAACUGCAUUCAAAACUGACUGACUAGAGUAUGGUAGAGGGUGGUGGAAUUUCCUGUGUAGCGGUG
This 585-nucleotide ribosomal RNA is filed under the name uncultured Pseudomonas sp. Its description in RNAcentral is "bacterial SSU rRNA". It matches the Rfam family "Bacterial small subunit ribosomal RNA", at positions 102 to 683 of the family's 1533-position model. The record is from RNAcentral. Lineage: Bacteria; Pseudomonadati; Pseudomonadota; Gammaproteobacteria; Pseudomonadales; Pseudomonadaceae.